GUCAGGAUGGGCAAGUGGUCUAAGGCGUCCGACUUAAGUUCUAAUCCUAUUAUGAGGGCGUGGGUUCAAAUCCCACUUCUGAAA
Molecule: non-coding RNA, 84 nt
Organism: Sphenostylis stenocarpa
Lineage: Eukaryota; Viridiplantae; Streptophyta; Magnoliopsida; Fabales; Fabaceae
Source: the annotation of a GenBank genome assembly